GAUGAACGCUAGCGGCAGGCUUAACACAUGCAAGUCGAGGGGCAGCGGAGCGGAGUGCUUGCACUCUGCUGCCGGCGACCGGCGCACGGGUGAGUAACACGUAUGCAACCUGCCCCGGAGCGGGGGAUAACCCGGCGAAAGCCGGACUAAUACCGCGUAUAUAUCCAGGAGGCAUCUUCUGGAUAGGAAAGGACUUCGGUCCGCUCCGGGAUGGGCAUGCGGCGCAUUAGGCAGACGGCGGGGUAACGGCCCACCGUACCGACGAUGCGUAGGGGUUCUGAGAGGAAGGCCCCCCCANACUGGUACUGAGACACGGACCAGACUCCUACGGGAGGCAGCAGUGAGGAAUAUUGGUCAAUGGGGCGAGAGCCUGAACCAGCCAAGCCGCGUGAGGGGACGACGGCCCUACGGGUUGUAAACCUCUUUUACAAGGGAAUAAAGAUGGGGUCGAGACCCCAGUUGCAUGUACCUUGUGAAUAAGCAUCGGCUAACUCCGUGCCAGCAGCCG
Molecule: ribosomal RNA, 508 nt
Filed under: uncultured bacterium
Lineage: Bacteria
Description: bacterial SSU rRNA
Rfam family: Bacterial small subunit ribosomal RNA
Source: RNAcentral